RNAcentral lists this non-coding RNA (46 nucleotides) under Schistosoma margrebowiei. The record is from RNAcentral. Lineage: Eukaryota; Metazoa; Platyhelminthes; Trematoda; Strigeidida; Schistosomatidae.
GCACUGCUGAGGAGUCCCAUAGUCGGGCGAAACGGCCGUCCAGUGC